GACGAACGCUGGCGGCGUGCUUAACACAUGCAAGUCGAACGGAAAGGCCCUGCUUUUGUGGGGUGCUCGAGUGGCGAACGGGUGAGUAACACGUGAGUAACCUGCCCUUGACUUUGGGAUAACUUCAGGAAACUGGGGCUAAUACCGGAUAGGAGCUCCUGCUGCAUGGUGGGGGUUGGAAAGUUUCGGCGGUUGGGGAUGGACUCGCGGCUUAUCAGCUUGUUGGUGGGGUAGUGGCUUACCAAGUCUUUGACGGGUAGGCGGCCUGAGAGGGUGACCGGCCACACUGGGACUGAGAUACGGCCCAGACUCCUACGGGAGGCAGCAGUGGGGAAUAUUGCACAAUGGGCGGAAGCCUGAUGCAGCAACGCCGCGUGCGGGAUGACGGCCUUCGGGUUGUAAACCGCUUUCGCCUGUGACGAAGCGUGAGUGACGGUAAUGGGUAAAGAAGCACCGGCUAACUACGUG
This 468-nucleotide ribosomal RNA is filed under the name uncultured bacterium. Its description in RNAcentral is "partial 16S ribosomal RNA". It matches the Rfam family "Bacterial small subunit ribosomal RNA", at positions 28 to 507 of the family's 1533-position model. The record is from RNAcentral.